This 82-nucleotide transfer RNA is filed under the name Pseudomonadota bacterium. RNAcentral's name for it is "tRNA-Leu". RNAcentral also lists the same sequence under 4 other names. The record is from RNAcentral. Lineage: Bacteria; Pseudomonadati; Pseudomonadota.
GCCCUGGUGGUGAAAUUGGUAGACACGCCAUCUUGAGGGGGUGGUGCCGCAAGGCGUCACGGUUCGAGUCCGUGCCAGGGCA